This 253-nucleotide ribosomal RNA is filed under the name uncultured bacterium. Its description in RNAcentral is "partial 16S ribosomal RNA". It matches the Rfam family "Bacterial small subunit ribosomal RNA", at positions 524 to 776 of the family's 1533-position model. The record is from RNAcentral.
UACAGAGGUCCCAAGCGUUGUUCGGAUUUAUUGGGCGUAAAGGGUGCGUAGGUGGUAGGCUAAGUCGGAUGUGAAAUCCCGGGGCUCAACCUCGGAACUGCAUUCGAUACUGGCUUGCUUGAGGACUGGAGAGGAGAUUGGAAUUCAUGGUGUAGCAGUGAAAUGCGUAGAUAUCAUGAGGAAUACCAGAGGCGAAGGCGGCUACCUGGACAAUUGCUGACGCUCAGGCACGAAAGCGUGGGGAGCAAAAGGG